Anthonomus grandis grandis is the source of this 671-nucleotide long non-coding RNA. RefSeq lists it as uncharacterized. Lineage: Eukaryota; Metazoa; Arthropoda; Insecta; Coleoptera; Curculionidae. The record is from RefSeq and is a predicted model, not a curated record. The transcript is spliced from 2 exons.
CUGAAACAACAAGCACAUGCCUAUAAGCCAAAAAAAUCCAAGAUUUUAAGUAAAGAAGAAAUAAAGAAAUUUAUUCAGGAAGCUCCAGAUAAGGAAUAUUUAAUGAUUAAGGUAGCUCUAAUAUUUGGAAUUUCGGGAGCUUGCAGAAUGGACGAGCUGGUUAAAAUGACUGUACAAGAUAUACAAGACCUACUAUCUAAACUUUUAGUUACCAUACCGGAUUCAAAAACCAAUACAUCAAGAUCAUUUAUAGUAAACGAAAUGUACUUAAAUCUAUACCGCAAGUAUGUCUCUUUAAGACCAAGAGACAUGAAUACCACUCGGUUUUUUUUAAGUACCAAAAUGAAAAAGGUUGUAGACAAGUAGUAGGAAUUCACCAAUUUAGAAACAUGCCUAAAAUAGUGGCCAGUUAUUUGAAUUUGCCAAACUCGAAAGAAUAUACCGGCCACUGUUUUCGUCGGUCUUCUGCCACAAUGCUUGUUGAUUCUGGUGGAGAUAUUACUAGUUUAAAGAGACUGGGUGGAUGGAAAUCAACAAACGUCGCUGAAGGAUAUAUAGAAGAGUCUCUUACUAAUAAGGAAGAAGUGGCAAAUAAAAUUUUCACAGCAGAAAAAAAUCAAGAAAGUAAAUCUAAUAUUUCUAAUACUGCAGUAACGUCCAAUAUUAGUUAU